AGUGAACGCUGGCGGUAUGCCUAACACAUGCAAGUCGAACGGCAGCACAGUAAGAGCUCGCUCUUACGGGUGGCGAGUGGCGGACGGGUGAGGAAUACAUCGGAAUCUACUUUUUCGUGGGGGAUAACGUAGGGAAACUUACGCUAAUACCGCAUACGACCUACGGGUGAAAGCAGGGGAUCUUCGGACCUUUCGCGAUUGAAUGAGCCGAUGUCGGAUUAGCUAGUUGGCUGGGUAAAGGCCCACCAAGGCGACGAUCCGUAGCUGGUCUGAGAGGAUGAUCAGCCACACUGGAACUGAGACACGGUCCAGACUCCUACGGGAGGCAGCAGUGGGGAAUAUUGGACAAUGGGCGCAAGCCUGAUCCAGCAAUACCGCGUGGGUGAAGAAGGCCUUCGGGUUGUAAAGCCCUUUUGUUGGGAAAGAAAAGCAGCAGGUUAAUCCCCCGCUGUUCUGACGGUACCCAAAGAAUAAGCACCGGCUAACUUCGUG
This 492-nucleotide ribosomal RNA is filed under the name uncultured bacterium. RNAcentral describes it as "partial 16S ribosomal RNA". It matches the Rfam family "Bacterial small subunit ribosomal RNA", at positions 29 to 507 of the family's 1533-position model. The record is from RNAcentral.